RNAcentral lists this long non-coding RNA (5642 nucleotides) under Sorghum bicolor (sorghum). Its description in RNAcentral is "long non-coding RNA (SBIC_LNC007217)". The record is from RNAcentral. Lineage: Eukaryota; Viridiplantae; Streptophyta; Magnoliopsida; Poales; Poaceae.
CAAGUCGACGCCGCACCACCAACCACUGUCGCCGUCUUCUCCCUAACGAGCGCCGGUCCUAACGGCAACGGUGGUUCCUCGGCGGGCAACAUGGAGAACCUGGACGCCAGCGGCAUGGGUAAGAAGAACCUUAUCCCUGACCUCAACAUGGAAGAGCGCGACGACUCCGCGGGCGGCAGCAAAGAUAAGCCGCGCUCGGAAGCGAAGGUGGAGGUAGCUGCUGCCGAUGCCGAUGCCGACGCCGACGCCGACAAGGGUAAGAGCAUCGCCGCUGCUGGCGACGACGACGGCGAGCCCAACGUCAACAUCGCCUUGGAGCGGGAGAGGCGCAAGCGGAUGAAAGAUCUGUUCAGGUCACUACAAGACCUGAUGCCCCACGUCCCUCAGAAGGUAAUACUAGAACUCUCACAUGACGCGCGCGAUCAAUCCUGCGAAGCCAAGUUCGUAUACGUUGGCUAGCUAGGGCUUGGAAGUUGGAACUCGCAUAAGCAGGGCAGGCUAUAGCUAGGCAGCUAAUCACUCGCUAGUCUAGUCUGGUUCUGAUUCUGAUAUCGUACUGUGUGUGAUCAGAUUCUGAUGGAUUUACUGUUGAUUGUCUCUUCUGACAGACUGACAAGGCGACAUUAGUGGGAGAGGCGAUCACCUACAUCAAGGUCCUCGAGGAGAAGGCGGACAUGCUGGGGAAGCAGGCGCUCGCGGCGCGGCAGGCCGCCGCUAGGGGUGAGGCCUCCUCCUCUUCCUCUCUUCUCUCUUUGAGGGCGAUGCCACCGACCGCGCAGGGCAUGGCGGCCCUGUGCUCUUGGAACGCCCCGCGUGGCUGGGGCGGUGUCCCUGUGCAACCUGCUGCUCCAGCCGUGCCAGCGUCGACGUCGCCGAUGAGAUGCAAGACGUGGGCGGGGCCAAACAUGGUGCUGACCGUGGCCAACGACAACGCCUACAUCAGCGUGUGGGCGCCACGGCGCGCAAACACCCUGACCAUGGUGAUGUCCGUGCUAGACAACCACGGGAUCGACGUGAUCACCGCGCAAAUCUCGUCCGACAGGGUUCGCGCCCUGUUCAUGAUCUAUGCCCAUGUAAGUACCAUUGUUGCUCCAUCAAUAUCCACCUGGUUUCAUAGCAUAGCUUGGGGCUUUUGUUGGCCAGACGUAUGUAGGAGUAGGAUCGUUGCAGCAGCUUAUAUGCGUUGCGUAGAUCUGGUAAUUAAGCAUGACGAUGGGCGAUUGGUUGCCAUUCUUAGAUCGAGGAGAAUCCCCUCAUCGCGACUGGGGAACUGAUCUGACCUAGAAAUGAAAGGAAUGUCCACCUAUUUCUUCGCUAUAUUUGAAUUUGAAAAAGGCUUUUACCGUUAAAUUAGGGUUCGCGCGGGCGAGUCUAGAGGCCGACGACAAACGAUGACCUUUUGUCGCAUUUUAUUUAAUAGAAAAGGAUGAUCCAAAAAUCGACAGAAUUUAUAUAGGUUUAGGCUUCAUUGAUUCAGUAACCAUAAGGAAAUAAUACGUUAGAGCUUUAUUUUUGUCGUAAUCUGUCUGACGGGGAAGAAAGUGGUGGUCCAAACACCGACAUAAUUUGUAUAAGUUGACGCUGCAUAGUUCUAGCAACCACAAGGAAGUAGUACGUUAUUAGAACUUUUAUUUUGUCGCGCUUUAAUAGUAAAAAGGUGAUCUAGAUACCGACCAUACUAAAUCUAGCUAAGCUAAUCGACAAAUAUUGUUAUCUUUUCUAUUCAGUCUCAUCCUAUUUAACUGAAGAUAUUGGUUUGCCAGCGACUUGUAAAGGUUGUAUGGUUAUGGGAUUCGAUCAAUAACUAUUUGAAAAAAUAGUAUGUUAGAGGUCCAUUUUUUUGGUGGCGUGCAUAUAUAUGGAAAACACGAUUUAUUAGGAAUGGACAUAACAAAGUACUAAAACAAAGUACUAAAAUAGUAUGCCACAAAUUUUCAUACCCUUCACAUGCCUGAGUGCACCUAUGGAUUUGUGCUUUAUUGAUAGGAAUAACUAUUAUGUGACUUGCUUUAUGUUUAAACUCUUUUUGUUGCAAAAAUGCUAUAUAUAUAUAUAUAUAUAUAUAUAUAUAUAUAUAUAGCAUUUUUUUACAUGCGUGUGUAGUUACUCUCAUCUAUAUAUCUCUAGAUUUAAGGUGUAUAUGACCGAAAGAGUGAUAUGUAUGUUAAGUAUGCAUACAUACAUAGAGUAUAUGGUUAUACUUAUUGUAUAUAAUAUAGUAGUGGCAUUUUAGUAAUAUAUUUAAAAUAUAAUUUUUUUAAAAAAAAAUUCGCGUAGUAAGAUCUAGAGUAUCUUAAUAUGAGUAUAUAAACAUACUCAAACUGAUAAACAAGUAUGAAUAUGUACACAAUGUAGUUUAUUGAAGAUGUGUAUAUAUAUAUAUAUAUAUAUAUAUAUAUAUAUAUAUAUAUAUAUAUAUAUAUAUAUAUAUAUAUAUAUAUAUAUACCAUUUGAAUGGUCACUCAGUAGUAUUAUGUACUUCGCACACAAAGAUGAGUUUGUACUUUGCACUUGAUACUUUUUCACUCUAGCAGUAACAUGAAUGCACAGAAGGCUGAACCCAAUCACAAACAAGUGUCAUUGUAGACAUUGCGCACGGUAUAUGUACAUAUUAUUAGAAUCCAAGCAUCAAUAUCUAACUUGUAGAAGCUUAUGUAGCAGCCUCGUUGCCUGACAAAAGCCUAAAAUCAACAAGAAAAUAAAUCUGUUCUUACAUGUUAAAGUGGUAACAUAUUCAUUUAACAAACUUGUCUACGUGAGGUAAAACUAUAUGGCAGCUCAGUAGCAUCCGUAUCUUUUCUAUUGCAUAACACAGGUGACUGGAAUAGGCGGUGAGAAUCGUCGUUCGUCGGAGGAAGUGUACCAGAGGGCUGUGUCGGAGAUCGUAUACAGGCUCCACAACAACAACAACAACAACAAUAACAACAAUGGCUAGACCGAUUGGAGCCGCCAAUCAAAGGCCUCAGGGGCGUCUCAAGCUACGCCACUGCAUGCCAUCGAUCUGCUCAAUAGCUUGCAACCUUCAGACUGGAGCGAUCUAAAAACCCGAAAUAAAUAAACUUGUUUGAUUAAUUUGCACCUGUCAUUUGAAGGUUUGAGAACCGUCUCUUUGUGUCUUUGUCAGGUCGGUCGAACUGCGAGUGUCGUGCGUGUUUGUGUCUCGACAUUGCUUUACAACGUCUCUUUGUGUUGUGAUUAUUGUUGUACCACCGUCUUCUAAAUUGUUGUUGGACCGUUUUAAUAAGUUUCGUAUGUUGGUACUCAUCGUGAGCUGAUCGAUCGGCUCUAAGCUAUCCCUCUCUCUUCAGAGAUUAUAAUGGAUGGUUAUUGGGAUGAGUGUUCAUAUCACCGACUUCUCCAAAAGGCCAAAACCACGGCUCACGCAUACAAGAUACAGCAGUCAGCAAAGGCCGGUCAAUAAAAGCCGUAGCCACAGACCAAGAAAUGGAGCAAAAAGGAUGACCUCCCUUCACAUGUGGAUGGGGCUAGCAGGCGACCUGCAUUGCUAUGCCUACCUGUUUGGAACUUUGGAUCAUAAAAUUCCAAAGGUAAGCUUUAAUAUAUUUUUCAUUCUUCUGGAGAAGUCCAAUCGAACAAAAACUGAAAUAGGUAAACAGCGGCAUGCAUGCCACAGUAGAACUUCAAUUCUUGUUACGCUCGCGGUCAAAGGACCCAAGUUAUAAGCCUACACGCAUGAGGAGAACGAUGUCACCUUUAUCUGGAAGCAAAUAUGUCGUGACAUGUCAUGCAAUAGCGCAGCGCGCAACCCACCCACCGCGUAUUUGUUCUCGCCUCUCAUCUACCUCGAGCCCUGCCUCCCCCACCCCCCUGCCUCCUCCCCUGCCGCCCUCGGCCAACAGCAGCCUCACCGCCCACCUCCCACCCCAACCGCUCCACCCUACCCUGCCCUAACUGUAGGGUGGCGCGCUGGCGCCAUCCUCUGGCCCCCGCCCCACCCCCACCUCCGUCCGUCGACCUCGUCCACCCUAAUCCCAGGGCAGGGCGCCAGUGAGCUUCGCAGCGAUGCCCCACUGUCGGUCUCACCCAACUGCCUUCUCCUGUUGCCCCGUCUCGACACUGUCUCUCGCCACCACCACCAUGUUGUGGCUGCCUCCACUUGAACCCCCUUCUAGAACCACCUUAGAUGAGUUUUUCUAACACUAACACUAGCUAUUGUUGUCAUCUUCCCCUCCAACGGGGUGCGGUCGUGCGCAGGCGCAUGAGUUGGUCGCAUGGGAGCGGGAGGGAGAGAGAGAGAGAGAGAGAGAGGGUGGGCCAACCCAUGUCACACCAUCCACGCACCAUGGUUGCUUAUUUAACUUUGUGCUUUGAUUUGCUGGCCACGCCACCAGGUGUUUGGUGGGAUAGGCAAAGGUGACGACGAGAGAGAUAUAAGCCUGUUUGUUUAAGCGUAUAUGCCGAAUUUGCUAGCUAUUCAAUAGUGAUUUUCUCUCACAAUAAAUCUGUGAAUAAUACUUAUAACCAUGGUUUUUCGCCCAAGCAGGCCGGUGCGUGGAACCUUGCUUAUUAAUUGCUCUCGCUGUGAAGUGAAAACAGAAUUUGUAUGCUUGCAGUGGCACGAGUAAAGAUCGCUUUGCUACCCUUUUUCGUUUCCCUUUUGUUCUACGGUGAUGAUGAAGACUGAGGACGUGGCUUCGCUUGGAUUUAUGCACCGAUUUUUGGCCGCAGUCAGUUACUGAAGUAGGGAUAGAUGCGACGUUUAUAAUAUUAAAAAACACACUGCAGAUAGAUACAAGGUGAAGUAAGGGAACUGAUGAAAAUGCUCACACGCCAACGCGAAUGUUUUACUGGUCAGUCGAAAUUAAGGAAUCUGAAUCGAUAUAUGCACUCGGAACAAUGAGUGAUCAGAGGCUCACAGAGAAAUGGUUCAAGAAUGUGACACCGCUUGGCCAGAGCACUAAGCAUCUGUGUAUAUCGUUUAGCCUAUAUAACUCCAGUAAGUAGAGAGCUGCUGCAAACAUUGUGUGGCCUUUGUUUGAAACGAAAUAUAUAUUAAUAUUGUGAGGCAUUACUCAUUGCUAAAUAAUCUUGCUGCUAGCACUGAGUGAGCACAUUUGGAGUGCAGGUCACAGUGAAGAAAAGACAGCCGAAUUUACCGUAAGACAGCUAAUCCGCCCGGAGACGUUACACAUCCUUUUACACUGUCAUUUACGCAUCUGUGACCAGUGGAAGAGAUUAAAGUUUCAGAAAAAGACAACACAUGAGGUAAUUCUGCGGUGCUUACAAAUAAAGGCUCAAGACGACGGCCAUUCCAAAAUCCUCCAGUACGCCUCCGAUCCCCUCGUCCAAAAUCCUCCAGCCUGCCUCGCCCUCGCCUGCCUGCCUGCCUGCCAUGGCUCAGAACGGACCCCACGGCCACCAAGUCGACGCCGCUGCCUCCGACGACGGCCACCGCGCACCACCAACCACUGUCGCCUUCUCCCUCACGAGCGCCGGUCCAUACGGCAACGCUGGUUCCUCGGCGGGCAACAUGGAGAACCUGGACGCCAGCGCCAGCAAGGGUAAGAACCUUAUCCCUGACCUCAACAUGGAAGAGCGCGACGACUCCGCGGGCGGCAGCAAAGAUAAGCCGCGCUCGGAAGCGGAGCUGGUGGUACCUGCUGCCGAUGCCGACGCCGACG